UUNGGGGAGGCAGCAGUGGGUAUUAUUCCACAAUGGGAGAAAUCAUCAUGCAGCAACGCCGGGUGAGCGAUAAAGUCCUUGGGGUAAAAAACUUUUGUCCUCAAGGAAGAUAAUGCCGUUCCUUGAGGAGGAAGCCCCGCCAAAUUACUUCCCACCAGCCCGGUUAUUCGUUGGGGGCCAACCUUGUUCGGAAUUUCUUGGCGUAAAGGCUGGCUAGGUGGUUUCUUAAUUCAGAGUUGAAAGCCUACGGUUCACCUGUAGUAAUCCUUUGAAACUGUGAAACUUGAGUGCAGGAGAGGAGAGUGGAAUUCCUAGUGUAGCGGUGAAAUGCGUAGAUAUUAGGAGGAACACCAGUUGCGAAGGCGGCUCUCUGGCCCGUAACUGACACUGAGGCACGAAAGCGUGGGGAGCAAACAGGAUUAGAUACCCUGGUAGUCCUCGCCGUAAACGAUGAGUACUAGCUGUCGGAGGUUCCCCCCUUUCGGUGCCGCAGCUAACGCAUUAAGUUUCCGCCUGGAUUCUCC
This 524-nucleotide ribosomal RNA is filed under the name uncultured bacterium. RNAcentral describes it as "bacterial SSU rRNA". It matches the Rfam family "Bacterial small subunit ribosomal RNA", at positions 339 to 883 of the family's 1533-position model. The record is from RNAcentral.